CCCCCAAACUCACCUUUGUUUUUGAAGGAAGGUGGAUGAGUUUCAAAUCCCUUUCCCUCUCCAGGACUGAAGGUUGUUUAUUUUUCCUUUCCCCUCCACCCCCACCCCUCUUGCAUGCAAAGAUAAAUAUUCAAUUUACAUAAGAUGACAUUUAUGUGACAAUUAAGGAGAUUCCCCGAUGGAAUGUUGUGAACACAUUUGCUUAUAGGAGAAAUAAAUCUAAUAAUAAACAAACUCAGAACAGCUCAAAUCCUCUGACAGGGAGGUUGUCUCUGCAACAAAGAGGGGCAUGAGGGACUCUGAAAGCUCUCUGUGCAACAAGAAAGAGAUGAACCCAAAGGAAGCCACCAGCAGAAUUUCUUUUCUUUGGCCUUCAUUCACAAAGUUUGAAGAGGCUUGCCUGGCAAGAGGAGGGACUGGCUCACCAUCACCUCACAGUUAGCCCUGGCUUUGGUUUUCAAUGGUCCACUGAGAUUUUCCCAGGCCAAGGUCAAUGUCUGCUAACAGGUGUUGCAGGCAGGGAGUGCCCAACAGAGUGGUUAAUGGCUUCUAAUCCUGGCUUUCCUUUUCAGAAGGCUGAAGCGGGCCAGUGACUACAUCUCUCUGGGUCUGUGUUCACCUUGGUGAGCCGAAAACUCCAGAGACACCUGUGGACACACCAGCUUGAACCCAGAGCUUUGCCUGUGCUAGGCAAGAGAGGACAAUGCUCUCAGUCUUCCCCCUGAGGAUACAUUGCAAGAACUCCAGCGUGCACAGAAAGAGAACCAAGAGUGGAACUGGUAUGUGCAGUGCCUGCGGGGGCCAGAAGAAGGCAUCAGACCUAAGAGGGACAGUUUUAAGUUGGAGCGUCUGAGAAGAUGGCAGAACUUACUUCAAGGGCUGCAGGAUGGUGGCUCACACCUACUAUCCUACCACCUAGGGGGAGCCGAUGGAGGAGAAUCGGGAGUUCAAGGUCAUCCUGGACUACAUAGCAAAUUUGAGGUCAGCCUGGACGGCCGAAGGUCCUGGAUUCAACUCUCAGCAUUGCAAAAAUAAUAAAGAUCUUAUACCCGAGAGGAGUCCAUAGGAUCAGAGUCCUUGAGUACAAGGCACAGACAAGGUUAAGAGGCUAACAGGGUCAGAAGUUUGAGGUGGCUUUCUCUGAAGGGGAAUUAUCAUUCCAUCCAUUGCUGCUGAUGUACCUGCUGUGUGCCAAACAGACCUUGAGAAAGAAGACAAGGCUGGAAGUUUAAGCCUCCUUCAUGAUACAUAGAAACUGCAGCUGGGCCCUGGAACAGAGUGAGAAGCCCCUCAAGGCUAUUUGUAGCUAAAGAUUCUACCUUGGCGAGAUAUGAACUUGGCUCUGCCUGGGUGUCCAUCGGUGUAUGGGAAAGGUGCCCCUCUGCAGCUGCAGUCAGCCAGUUCAGAGAUGGUUCCAACCAGUCCCUGGAGAUGUCUGGAUAAUGUGCCAGCCAUGCCACCUGUCCCCUCUCAUCCUCUCAGACCUAGACGGUCACAGAUGGCAGAGGGCAGUGGAGAUCCCAUGGGCCUCCAGACACCUCUCCAGAAUCUGGCAGCAGCCAGUAACUCCUGUCAGAUCAGUGCCUACCCAACCCGAGUCCCAUGUGUGAGAUGCCCCACUCUGAGCUGAGGGGAAUCGGCCCCAUUCAGGAACCCAAGGUACAGGUUCUAAAUCAAGCUGAGUUGAAUAAAUAAACACCCUUCACUUCUUGUAGAGCUUCUGAUAAAUCAAUGCAAAUUUCUCCACAUUGCCAGACACUCAGGCUUUCUCUCUGCCUAGUUACAAGGGAAAUAGCUCACCUUUGGGAACACUUACAGGCUUGGUGGGUAUGCAGCCAGCCAGUACAGUACUUGCCUCACAUACACGAGGCCCUGAUUUUUGACCCCUCACACCACGCAAACCAAGCCUGCAAGGUGAACAUCUAUAAUUUCACCACUGGGGAUGUGGAGGCAGGAGCACCCAAAUUAUUAGCUAAAUAACUAGUGACCUCGAGGUUGAAAGCCCGUCUCAAACAAACAGAGAAAAACGAUAAAAUGUCUUAGGAAACUGGGGUUAAAAUGGCCAAAAGAAUUUCUUUUCUUCUUUUGAGACAGGUCUCACUAUGUGGCCCUUGCUGUCCUGGAAUUCACUACGAAGACCAGUCUGGCCUUGCACUCACAGGGAUCCUUUGUUUCUGCCUUUGGGGUGCUGGAAUCAAAGAGUCCAUGUCUUCUAAAGACUUCUCAUGGAGGUUGACCUAUGGCAGAGACUCAGCAAGCCCGGUUUCUCCGUGAUCUGGGACCUUGGCCAGUUACCUGAGUCUGGGAAUCAAGUGGAGUAAAGACAGUGCUGAGAAGUUUGGUCGUCAGAAGAUGCUCACGCCUGUGGUGGGCCAGAUUCUAUUUCCUCCCAGUUUAUCUACAGGAAAUAUCUCCUGCCCAUGGGGUGACAAAGGCAGGCAUAAUUCAUUAGCAGAACAGUUACUAAGAACCCACUCAGGGCUGGGGUGUUUUUAAGGCCUGUGUUCAGUCCCAAACCUUAAAUCAACUGAACACAAUACCACAUACUAUAACUCUAGUACUCAGGAGGGAGAACCAGGAGAAGCAGGAGAAGCAGAAGUCCAAGGCCAGGAUGGAUUAGCUGGUAAAGGCACCUGAUACUGAGCCUGGCAACCUGAGCUCCAUCCCUGGGACACUCGUGGUUGAAGGAGAGAACUGACCUCUGUAGUUGUCCUCUCAUCUUUGUGAUGCGCAGAGGAAUAAGCAUGCUCACCUGCACCCAGACAAAUAAAUGUAAUAGAAGUCAUUCUUUAAAAAGAAGUUCAUGGUUGUCCUGGACCACAGAGCAAACUUAAACCUGGCCUGGGUGGUGUCAAGGGAUGUAAAGACGAGGCCAGGGCUUGGGCUCUGAGCUGGUGAAUCCAGGUGUGGGCUGUGCUCAGAUUGGAGUCUGUGCCCUUCUAGGCCUAAACCCUCCCUGACAGCAGGUUAUGGAGGUGUGGCUGAUGAGAUCCCUGUACUACAGGAUGGAAGAAGGGCAAACCACAGCAGGUAGGAGGACUGAGUCAAGGUUUAGUGUGAACCCAGACGCAGUAAGUCCUGCCAGGUCCUGAGGCACCCUACUCCACUCAAGUCUUCAUAAAUGGUCACUACGACUUCAGUCCUUUUGACCAACCUCCUGCUAUGGGAAGUGCCCCAGCAUGCAAGGUGACUCUUGAAACUUUCUUAGAGGGCUAAGGAGCAAAUGUUCUUCCUUCGGGUGUUGUCCACUGGCUUUCUACACUUGAUCUUAGCCAAAAGGCCGAGAAGCGAUUCCACUGGCUUCCUAGGACCUGUGGCUAUAGAGGGAGUGGUAGAGGUCUAUCUAGCUAGAGCCUCAGGGAGAGGCUUGGGAUGGAGUCACACUAGCUCCCCACAUUAGGAAGAUGAUGGGAACGAGAGAAUUUUUUCUUGAGCUCAUCCCCAUCCUGCAGACUGGGCAGGAGAGGCAUAGUGCAGGUUAAACAGAGCGGGUUGCAUGGCCAGUGCAUGCCACCCUGGACAAUGUCUGUCCCUAGACACUCCAUUUCAUAUGUCCCUGAUCCCCACCUGCUCUUGGAGCUUAAACAAAAGCUGGUAGAUACUUGUGUCCAGUCCCUGAUGGACAAGCAUUCCUUAAGGGGAGCAGGUACCAGAAGCCCGAGGGAUGGCUCAACAGGUAGAGGAACAAAAUGCCAAAUCCAAUGUCCUGAGUUCAAAUCCUAGGACCUAUGUGGUAGGAGAGAACUAGUUCACUCAAGUUGUUUUAUGACCUACCCAUAAACACAAUACCACAUACUAUAACUCUUGGCAUGUAUGCAUGGUGUGCCCCUCCCCAUUUAUUUAAAAGAGAGGAAGAAAGGGAAACAGGAUACAAGAUGAAGUAGGAUAUAAGUUGCUGCUCAUACGUGUCUGCCCUGUUUGUAUCAGGGGCAGGGAGGGGAGAGGAAGAGAAGGGAAGCCAGAAAGGAGAUGCUUGUGUGGGGGCUGAGGGAAGGGAGAGUACUCGUACAUAUGCAUUUGUGUCUGCCCUUUAUCAGUGCAUGCCUACAGGAGCCUAAGGCCAUGUCUCUGGAGUCCCCCUCUUUGGAGCGAUUUUCCCAGACAACCUAAAAAUAAUUUCCAUCUAACUCGAGGAUUUGUGAUUUGAUGCACACGGUGCUUGAAUAGCAGAUACGCUUUUUUUUUUUUUAACCCACGUUUUUAAUCUAAGAUCAACAUCCAGUUCCAGUGAGUCUGCAUUAUUUAUGCAUAGUAAGUAAAAUGCAGCUAGAGCGGCCUGGAGUAAGUCUAGAGAAGAACUGUCCUGCCAGGGUUGGUGGGGUGUCUCUGUAAUCCCAAGAGCUUGGGAGGUUGAGGCAGGAUGGCUGCUGUGAGUUCGAGGUCAGCACGGCUUAUGUAGCAAGACUCACAUGUCACCAAAGGUGUGAGAAGGAAAGCGUCUUUACAAAGACGACGAGGUCAGAUGCAUGCACGGGCUGACAGUGACCGUGUGUAAGGGGACCCUGAGGUCCAGGAGGUAAAGGCACGUUUGCAAAGAUUUAAUGUUUAUUUGACAUGCACGAGGAUUGUGAUUCUAGGUGUACCACAGAGUCCCUGGUGCUUGAGGAGGUCUGAAGCCGGCACUGGAUCCCUUGAACUGGAGUUAGGAAUGGGUAUGAGCCUCCACGUGGGUGCUGGGAGCUGGAGACAGGGCUUCUGCAAGAGCAGCGAGGGCUCUUAAUCACGGAGCUGCCUCUCCAGCCCCUCAGCUGGUGUUUUUAAAGUCUACUUCUUAGGUGGCUGAAGGGUGAGAAGAUUAGGUGUCAGAUGAAGAGGAUGGACGGGUAUGACUGACUGUGGAGAUAGGGUAAAGGGGAGUAUGGUACAAACUGUGGCCUGUAAUGAGUUACAUCUAACUAGGUAGGGAGUAGAUAAAGGGGCCAGGAGAGACACGACACCCACCCUAUUGUCUUCAGUGUACUUCCCUGAACCUGGGAAGAUGUUCCAUCAGGAGACAAAGAGACUCCACAGAGAUGAUUAAAAUACAGACAUUGGUUCUGGGGAAGGUGGCUCAGCAGUUAAGUCUAUUGCUCCUCUUACAGAGGACCAAGUUCAGUUCCUAGCACCCAUGUUGGGUGUUUCAUAAUUGUCUGGAACUCCAGCUCCCAAGGAUCUGGCUCCCUCUCCUGACUUCUGCAGGUACACCCUGCCCCAUGUACUUGUGCACUCUCACACAUACACAUAAAUAAAACGGGAAAAGAACUAUUAAAAAGGUAAGAAGCUGGGCUGGAGAGAUGGCUCAGGACUGACUGCUCUUCCAGAGGUCCUGACAGCUCAAGUCUCAGUAACCACAUGGUGGCUCACAACCAUCUGUAAUGGGACCUGAUGCCCUCUUCUGGUGUGUCUGAAGACAGCUACAGUGUACUCAUAUAAAUAAAAAUAAACUAAGGAGCUUAGUUAGGCUGGGCAGUGGUAGCUCAGACCUUUACCCUAGUACUCGGAGGCAGAGGCAGGUGGAUCUCUGUGAGUUCAUAGGUCAGCCUGGUCUACACAGUGAGUUUCAGGACAGCCAGAGCUACACAGAGAAAACCAGUCUUGGGGAAAAAAUAUUAAGGAGCUUGGCAUGGGCAAUGACUCUGGCUUAUCCAGGUGAGUCCUUCUAGGCAUAUCCAGACCAGAUCCUUGCAAGCUGGAGUUACAAAUGGCUGUAACAUGGCCUCUGCUGCGUACUUCUCAGGUCUCGAUUGUGCCCAGCGCAUUCCUACCUCAGGAACUUUGAACUUGCUGUUUCCUCUGCCUGCUCUUUUCAUCACUCAGAUCUCCGUCCAGAUGAGAGCCAGCUCUCUGCUUCCAGAUUUUUGUCCUGGAGCUCUGAGUACACUCUGUUCUGGAAGGACUGGGUUGGGGCAACAGGAUGCAAGCUCCUCGCCUGAGCCGGCUGGCAUCCUCCCCAGCCCAAGUCCCGCCCAAGGUUGCGGGAUGGAGCAGUGUGCAUGAGUCAUCCGGCCACAGACACAGUCCCCUUGUUGGAGGGACCUGACUAGUUAGGUUGUGGCUAACUCCAAGAGCCAAGGGCCCAGUUGAAAGGGGAGGUUAGGAAUUUCCCCAAGUUCCUUAGAAUCACACAGGUCCAGGAGGGAACUGGGGGGUGGAAGGGCUGAGGAAGCCCUCUGAAGAGACUGUUGUGUCCCUAACCCACGUUUGAGCAGGCUCUGCAGAUGGAGACAGUGCUUAUGGUGGACUUACAGAGCUCGCUAUCCAUUUAGCCACCUACAGUGUGCUGAGGGUCACUCACAUGUCGUACUGUAGGUCAGACCCUGUCCACCAAGGGUGUGCAGUCUACAGUGAGACCCACAUGCCCACCAAGGCUUACUGAGGGGGGAGGGGCUCAGAGUUGGGGUGCAUAGGAGAGGAUGUGUGGGGCAGGCGAUGACGGUCAGUAAGGGAACCUGCCGAAGAGGCAGGGUAGGGGUGCACUGCACUACAGGAAGCAGAGACAGCUUGAGUUCGUUACCUUCAUAAGGAGGAUGUCAUGAGGUACCAACAAAAGGAAGCGUUAGUCACAGAAAUGUAUUCUCUCUGGAAUCUGGAAGCCAGAAAUCAGUGUUGACAAGACCUCUUCCUUCUAACGCCUGACUCAGGGGAGGAUGCUUCUGUCUCUCCCAGCUUCUGGUUGCUUCAAGCAUUCUUUGGCCCGUGGCCACAUCUCUGUGGUUUCUGCCUUCCUCACCACGUGGCUGUCUCCUCCAUGCCUGCUUAAGUGUCUCUGUGUCUUCACGUGUUGUCUCCUCCUCCUCCUCCUCUUCCUCCUUCUUCUUCCUCCUCUUCUUCUGUAUAUAUACCCAAACCAUGCUCCUCGUACCCAAUCUUUUCCAUGCCUUUCUUCCUCUCCUCAUCCUUUCUUCCUCCCCUCAUCUCUCACAUCAUUACCUCCUCUCCUCCUCUUCCCCUCCUUUUCCCUCCCCCUCCCCCCAAACUUUUCCCCCCAGUAGACUGUAUUUCACUUUGUAACCCAGGCUCGCCUUCAACUUACUAUGUAUACUGUAUAGCCAAGGUUGCCUUAAAACUCACAAUCCUCCUGCCUCAGACUUCUGACCGCUGGGAUAGCAGGUGCACUGUACCACUGGAUUCAGCUUCAAAUCUUCCUGUUUUUUAUAAAGAUACCAGUCAUACUACAUAGGCGCCCACUCUACUCUAAUGGUCUAAUUUAACUGUAUUAGGUUAGCUUCCACACAGGGUCACCUUGCAGGUACCAGUGACUAGGACUUCAGUGCAUCGUCCUCGUGUAGAUGGGAUAUUGGGACGCAAUUGAACAAAAGCAGUGAGCAAAGGCUCGGAAGGGACAGAGCUCAGGGCCAGAUGUCUCCCAGGCUGGCCUCAUACUCACCAUCCUCUGACCUCAGCCUUCGGGUACUCAUCAUCAUAUCAUGGCAACUUUCUUUUCUCAGUUGGUAUAGUGGUUUGGAUAAGAUUGGUCCCCUAGGGCCAUAGGAAGUGGCGCUGUUAGGAGGCAUGGCCUUGCUGGAGUAGAUGUGGCUUUGUUGAAGGAAGUGUAUUACUAGGGGGUGGGCUAUGAGGUCUCAGAAGCCAGACUCAGUUGUCUCCCUUGCUCUUCCUGCUGCCUGCCAAUCCAGAUGUAGAGCUCUUAGUUCCUUGUCCAGCACCAUUUAUGUCUGCUUUCAGGCUGCCAUGCUUCCCGCCAUGAUGAUAAUGGACGAGACCUCAGGAACUGUAAGCCAGGACCAAUUAAAUGCUUUCCUUUGUAAGAGCUGCUAUGAUCAUGGUGUCUCUUCACAGCAGUAGAACUCACUAAGACAGUCGGCAACCUGUCUCUUCAAGGAACCCUCUGACCCUGACAUCGCUCUGUGUGGGUGCCUGCCUCUGGUGUAGGGCCCACUUUGUCUACUGCCCAGUGCUUAGGUGAGGCGUCUUUCUCACUGUUCCUUGCAGACUCAUAGAGCUCCAUGUCAAGUCUGCCUUAGAGCCUUGAAUCUGGCCCCUCACUCAGAUCCUGAACACUUUUCACCGUCUCUGCCAGACAUCUCACCUGGGCUCGGAUGUCUUCGCCACAGGGUGCACACAGAGCAAAGUCGCCUAGGACUCAACGGCUCCUGACUGCUGGACCCCACCAAAUCCCUCCCAGCAUCUUCCUCAACCCACCCCAGACCCACAGAUUCCCCCUUGGCCCCACCUACCAGGACUAUGGCGAAUUACAAGUCAGCUGAAAGCCGCCUUGACCCAACCAUCUCCCUUACCUGCCUGUCAGUGUCACCCCGACAAGGGUUAUGCCCAGAGAGUAGCUGGGCAUUUUCUCUUCAGGAGCCUGACAGGCGGUUGACAGCAGGUCCUAGUCCUACAGGAAAACUGCCACCCAAGCUGGGGAUGGGCUAGUCUGUGGGCUUCGUCCACAGUCAGCAGCCUCUGAGGUGAGGGAAGCCAGGCAGUCCUGGCUGGCAGCUGAAGAGGUCUC
Molecule: non-coding RNA, 8449 nt
Organism: Rattus norvegicus (Norway rat)
Lineage: Eukaryota; Metazoa; Chordata; Mammalia; Rodentia; Muridae
Source: RefSeq, a predicted model, not a curated record